This 16445-nucleotide long non-coding RNA is filed under the name Malus domestica (apple). RNAcentral's name for it is "long non-coding RNA (MDOM_LNC007849)". The record is from RNAcentral. Lineage: Eukaryota; Viridiplantae; Streptophyta; Magnoliopsida; Rosales; Rosaceae.
AAAUAAACUAGGUUUCGUUGAUCAAAAUCUGCUGGUAUGGCUUCAAGAGGAAAUCCAAUCCAAUCCAACGCUCUUAACUCCUUGGAAAGAUGUUUGUAGCUUCCAGUCAGCUUUACAUUAGCCAGGUCGAGAAAUUUCAGACGCCACAUCUUCUUAAACGCUUUCGUACUGAAGCUUUGCUCGUCAUCAGAAUGUUCUGGCAAAAAUAAGUGUAGUCCUUCAACUGCUUCUGUUCCCUGUUAGAGAUCCAAAAUAAAAAAGGAUAAUAUUCACACGAAGCAUAGCUGUGAAUUGGAUGAAUGAACUACUAGAAAGGUAGGGCAUACAACAUAAUUAUGUAUUCUCUCUUUCAAUUUACAAUGGAUGAAAGCCUUUUUUCUUAAAAUACACUAUGUACAACAUACAUUAUAUAUAUGCGGAUAUGCGUAUAUACUUCUCUUUAUUUACAUGUACUUAACAUAACAUCUUUUCAUUGCAAAAGUACUUACAGAUUCGUUCCUUAGCACGCUUUUUGCAUCUUCACUAUGCCACAAAUGACUACGUUUUCCCAAUUUCACAGGAGAUUCUGCCCGCACAAUUUCUCUUCCCAUAUCUCGAAUCAAAUCAUGCAUCCUCAAUCUUUUCCUUUCAUCAAUAUAUAGGAGACAUCGAUCGCAGAGUGUGGUAAUUUCUGCUUCUACAGAAAAACGACUACAACCAUCCAAUACUGGAGUGGCCACACUUAUAUGCACUCCAAUAAAGAAAUUAGAUAUGUCUAGGAACACACCCUUCUCAUGAUCAUCACGUAGUCCAUCGUAGCUUAAUUUAAGCGUUUCAUGAAUUUUUCCGUCUGGAAUAUUUCUCAAUUUAUCCAAUGUACUUUCCCAUAUGGUUUUACUCUUUUUCUUAGCCAACAAACGACCAACAACUUUCAGAGCUAGGGGCAAUCCUCCACAAUAAUCAACAAUAUCUCUUGCCAAUUCAAUAUAUUCUUUAUCGGGAUAAUCAUUUCCAAAGGCAUGCCAACUAAGGAGCUCAAAAGCUUCUUUCUCUGUCAUUGCUUGUGCCUUAUAUUUUUUAUCCACCUUUUGUAUAUUCAGCACAUGUUCAUCUCUUGUUGUUAUAAUAAUUCUACUCCCUGGACCAAACGAUUCAUGUUCUAUUGCCAAUUCAUCUAAUUGGUCUGCAUCAUCUAUGUCAUCAACCACGACAAGUACCUUCAUGCUUCCAAGUCUUUUCUUGAUCUCUUUGGUCCCUUCGGCAACACUGCUUACCUUAAUGUCAGGCUGUUUUAAAAUAUCUCGAAGAAGUUGUUCUUGCAAACUAACCAUCGCUUUCUUUUUACUCCUCACAUCUUCAAGGUAACAUUGACGACUAAAACUAUGCUGAUAAUUGCUACAAACGGCUCUGGCAAGCAUUGUUUUACCUAUACCGCCCAUACCACAAAUUCCAAUUAUUCGAACAUCAGGUGAACCUCCAACGUCUAAGUAUUUAGUACAAAAUUCUUGCAAGCGAAAAGCCAUUCCAACUAAGUGCUUGGCUUCUUUAAAGUCUGUGGUUUUCAGUAGUCCUUUGACGUCCCCAACAAUUUUCUCGAUAAACACCCCUUCACACCUACGAGUAGAAAUUCCAAAUUACGAGAGCCAUACUAAAUGCCUUAUUCAUAAUGACUAGAUAUUUACAUAUUGAAACAUAUUUGAAUAAACUGGAUUAAUUGAGCUCAAUUCAACCACGUAUCCAAUCUUUGAUUAUAAUGUGAAUACAUUAGAUCAUUGGUGAUUUGACUAUUAUGCAAUUGUAGCUUUCAGUAAUAUAAUUAAGAAUCCAUUACAAUUGGUAUUUUAAAUUGAUAAAGUGUGGAGCAUUUGUCCUUCACACACCCAUAAAAAACAAAGCACGUACCCUGCGCUUCACUUCCUUAAUUUCCACGGAAAUUAUUAUGCAAAUGCUCUACCUUUUAUAAAAUUCAUAUACCAAUUGUAAUAAAUUUUUAUGUAGGGACCAAAAUUACAGUUCUAUUAUAGUUCAGAGAUCAACGAUCCAAUUUUUCUUAUGACAUAUAAAAUCAGAUUCAAUGCCUUAAUUAUAAUAUCUUAAUUUUGGUUGAUUAGUGAAAUAUGGUGAUAUGAAAUUUGAAGUAAACAAAAAAGUAUACCCGUCGGCCGUGGUUUUGAGGUUCCAGCCGGCCAAAUCUGCAGAAGCCUUAAGAUCCUCUCUCCACUGCUUGACCUCAUUUGGAUCUUCAUCCUUUUCAUGCUUCUGAAAUGCUUCCCCAAAACUAUCUUUCUGUUUCCUGACUUGAGAAGGGUCAACGUCGUAGAAUAUUGGACACACUAUCUUCCCCUCUUGAUCUUUUAGGCACCUCAUGAUCUUCGACAGCUCCCUCAGGCACCACCGGGACUCCGCGUACCUCUUCGAGAAGACGAUGACAGCGAUCCUCGACCCUUCGAUUUCUUGGUCAAGUUCACUCUGUAUGUCUUCCCCCCUUCUGAGCUGUUUGUCUAUAAACGUGUUAAUUCCGGCAUUGCGUAACGCAAUGAAGAGGUGGUCUGUGAAGGUGUUGCGGGUAUCUUCGCCUCUAAAGCUCAGGAACACCUCGUACUUCCAGCGGUUUGAGCUCUGCGAGGAAGACGAAGAGGCGGCAGAGCCAGCUCCUUGGGCGGAGCUGCUGGUAUCCAUUGCAGACCGUAGAAGUGCAGCUUGGCUUUCAAAUAACCAAAGUCAAGUCUUUACCCAGUGUCGGUGGCCGUUUUAGAUAUUUUGCAUGGGCCAAUAAUGUCACUGCUGUGUCGAUAACGCGCUCCCACAGUUUAAUUUGUAUAAAUGCUUUACGAUGCAAUUUCCUUUCUUUUGUAGUCUUUUGAGAAUCUGCCGCCCAACUUUGACCGGUUGACGAUCUUAUUGUAUUAUAAGAUGUGCAUUUUGAUUAUCAUCAUUUAAUGUGAUGUAUGUUCAUCAAAUUAUUUAUUAUUAUUAGAUGAGUUUAAAUUUUAAGAUUUGUACUUAUGCACUACCCACCCGAAUCUCGAAAUUCAAACACAUUUAACGAUGAUAAAUAGAAUGAUAAACAUAUAUCAUACUAAAUAAUGGUGAGCAAAAAUGCUCCCGUAUUUUAAGGGUGGUGCGCAGCACGUUCCAACUGUUGGAGUCAGUAGUAUCAACGGGAAGAGACCUCAUCUCCAACAACCCAUCUUAACAAAAAAUGCAGAAAAUUAAACUCCAACAGGCUAACUAAAUGACUCUUUAUUUUGUGAACGGUAACUAACUAAAUUUAACCAGGAGACAUUCGUAGCUUACGUCAAAAGGAUCAAUGUUGUAAUAUAAGUAAUUUACUUGCUCAAAAUAAGGAUCAAUUUAGCUACGAAAGCAGGGAGAUGAUCGAGCUCACGAUAGCAGAUUUUUUUAUCCUAUCGUCUUGCAAGGGAAACAAGCUACCAAUUGCUUGCAUCAUCUGAAGCCAUCCAACUAAUGGUUGAAUUUCUCAGUCAAGACUAUGCUCAAGGCAUCAGUGUGCAGGCCAGACUCGACAGCAUAGCCACACUACACAACCUCUCGCGCUGCCAUCAGAUUAUUCCGUCUCUGGUCUCUUCGGGCGUAGUGUUUUCAAUGCUAAAACUGCGGCAUGGAAGCUGUUUCUUUUUGAGACUGUUCCAAUUAUGGUUCGAGAAACAAGCAGUCAAGGAAUAAGUUGAUGGGGUGAGUACAACGGCAUUGAGACUGUUCCAAUUAUGCAGGAAGUUGAUGCAGAAGGAGAAAAAGUUGACGGGGUAAGUACAACGGCAUUGAGACUGGUAGAGGAGAAGCUUGCAAAGAUCAGCAGUGGACGAUAAUCUCGACCAAACUCUGAGCUUUGCCAAGCAGAUUAAGAUGUUGGAACAGCCGUUCAUCUUGUUUAUUGAACAAACGAGGAGGACAACAAUGCAGAAUCAACGCUUGAAUUCAAAGUCCCAACAGGCAAAUCGAAAAUAAUCACAAGAGCUUAGAAAAUACCACACCAACAUUUGGCAAGCAGUCUCACAACAAAUCCCACUAUCAAGAUAAAACCAUUCAACGGUGUGUUGGAACAACAGAUUUCAGUUGUGUAAGCAAUCAACAUAAAGGAACAGUGAAUACUUUUGUAACUAUAUAUGGAUUAGCUUCGGGAAUUCAUCAAACCCUCCGAAAAAGAACGUAUAGUGUAGCUACCAUAUUCUCCUUUCAUAUAAGAGCUUAUUUAAUUGACGUUAUAACACCUUUCUACAAAGAAAAAAAAGAAGAAAAUAGGGCCUCUACACCCAUGGCAAAACCCGACAUGGAUUAGAGUACGUUUCAGCCUGACCUUCUGUAAAAGCUAUAGGCCACAGCCACUGUUGCCACAGCUCCAACCACGGCAGCAGCUGCGAGAACAUCGCUUUGCUCCCAGUUCCCGAUCAAGCUUGACAGCUUCCCUAAGGCAUCCUUCCUGGCACACGACUCUCUGGUUUCUUUCACCUUCUUUUCCUCACUUCCAUUGUUCUGCUCUAAACUUACUUCUUUGCAGCAUGUAAAUCCAUUACUAUUAGCACCCUGGCAACAGCCUGAAAAGUUCUCAUUAUUCUGAAUCUGAUUGCCGUUUUCUUAGGGCUUCUCCUCCAUUUUCUUACUUUCUCCUCCAUUUGGAAGCUUCUGGUCAUUAAUUUUUUCAGCUUCAUCCGAAGAUGCUCCCAUUUGGCCCCUGUAAGGAAUGAAAUUGAAUUUCGAGUUCAGCCAUUUAAAGAUUCAACUCUAUGUUUCAUCAAUAGCAAUCGAGUAAGGACAUGUAUGAUCAAGCUUAAUAAACAAUUUGACAACAGUACCUACUUGACCCCGUCCCCCCUUCCCCAAAACCACCUUUGGUUUGGUUCUAUAAAAAAAAAAAAAUUGUUUGAUUUGGUUCACACGAGUUGUUUGAUUUGGUUCCUCAAUGUUAAUGUAACUCCAUAUCAAUAAUCUAUCUUCCAACACUAUAAGUAAUCAGCAAUAGGAAAAUAUGACAACAGAAGCUUCAGUUCCAGUGAACUUUUCAUCAGCAGACGGUUGGCAAAACCGAAAACACACAAUCCUCCAAAGUCGUUCUAUGAUCUCUCCCUUCCCAAUAUGCUGAUCAAGCAAUUCCGGCACAUCCUUAGGAGUGACGUAGCCAUACCUGCAAUUAUUAAUACCAUAAUAUUCAAAUUCCUUCAUCUAUCCCAAUACAAUAAAUUUUACAUUGUUAUGAUCCGGAUAUUACCAAUGGCCUGUUAUGCUUCCAUCUGAACCUGGGCUGUAGACAAUCAAGUUUCCAGCACACUUGUGGUCUCCAAUGUGAGAGCAAGCAGUAACAAAUACCUGAUUUGUCAAUCCUCGCAGCUCAGCCUCCUCUUUGAACUUAUCAAUGAGAAUAGGUCCACAAACUCCACAUUUUUAUCUCGACUUCCAUGUAGACCUGUAAACGGGUUAGGUUUAUUGGGUUUGGGUCGGGUUGAACCCGACCCGUUAAGUUAACGGGUCACCCGAACCCGACCCGUUAAGCUAACGGGUCACCCGAACCCGACCCGUUAAGCUAACGGGUCACCCGUUUCACCCGUUAACACCCGUUAACAAUUAUUAUUAUUUUUUUUUUGCAUAAAGUUUAUUUUUUGUUAUUAAAACUUUACUAAAAUUACUAAAAUAUCCUCAACUAACGGGUGCUAACGGGUGUUAACGGGUCUAACGGGUUGACCCAAAGUGACCCGUUAUUUAACGGGUGUUAACGGGUUCACCCGUUAGCGACCCGACCCGUUAAGCAUCCACCCAAAUACAAAUAUUAACGGGUUGGGUCGGGUUAACGGGUUGGGUCCAAAAUGCCAGGCCUACUUCCAUGUGCACAUACAAAUACAUGGGAGCCAGUCAACGCCUCUUGCACUACGGAAGCCCAUGGUUUGUCGUUCACAAGGACAUCAAUUGGUUAGAAACCAAGCCAUGUUACCGGCACACAGCCUCAGAGUAAACAAGGAAAAUUUCAAGGUAUCAACACUAAAACUAGUCCAAAACACACUAAAUUAGCUCAAUUCGAGACUUCGUAAAUUGAAAUGGGAAAAUCAUAAACUCUAUCUCUAGUUAGCAAUCAUCGAAAUCUCCUAGUCAAAUAAAGCAAAUCUGAAGAAUCAAAACACCACUCACUGGUUAAUUAUCUAAAUCCUAUAAAUUUCGGUUAAAAUUAAGCAACUACAGAACAAAAACAUCUUUACCUGUAUUUGAUCAUUUGUGGGAAAAUCAACACUUCGCCGUCGGAAAACUCAGUUCCUUCGCGUCCUUUAAUUACUGUCGGGUCUAUCAAAAACCAAGAAAAAAGUGAGUAAUGGAGUCAACUCAGCUCAACACCAGAACUCAGUAGCUCCAGUAAAUAAGAAACGGCAAGAAAAGCGAAACGCCGACGAGUUGAACUGCAAAACGGACCUUAACGGCGAUGUCGUUCUUGCGAGCUUUGAGAGCGGAGGCGAAGAACUUAGGGAGCAGAACGGACUCAGAGCCUUCGACGCACGACGGCCAGGCCUCGGGGGUCUUGUAGCAGAGUAAGACGUGGCGGUCGUACGCGUUGACAGUGCCAGCAAGUUUUUCCUUGCACAUCUCCAAUCUCUUGAAACCGAACCUCUCGUCUUCGGUGGCUGGAACGGCGACGUCGAGGUCAUCGGAGACCAUUGCUAGGGCUCGGAGAGGAGGGAGGGGUUUACCAGGGGUUGAAGUUGAAAACGAUGAGAGGGAAAAGAUGAGAGAGAAAGAGCGUUGUUGUUUGGUUGUUGUGUUGAUAUAACGAGGAGGCUGAGAAGGGAACCGCGGUGUCGGUGUGGGUGUAGGUGCGUGCGCAACACAUACGGCGCACGAUGGGGUUUCUGAAGAUCGGAGUCGGGACGCGUGGGAUUGGGCACGUGGGGUUUGAUUUGUAGUUCAUGUAUAUACCUCUUUUUUGAGAAUAAAGAUUUUUUUUGGAUCCUCUUUGUAGGGAUUUUAUAGUUUGUGUAUCGUAUUCAUUCAUUGUAAAUCAGACGGUUAGAAAUUACUUUAAAUCUAUAAAUUUAAAAUUAAACACAAAUAAUAUUUAAAGAAAAUUGACUGCAUAAUUAAUACGAUAAACGAACACAAUUAAAAAAUUCUCAGAAUCCUCGUAAAAAGAAUCCGAACUCUUUUGAUGUCUCCGAUCAUAUCGGACGGAAGCUAAAAGAUAAUUCGUGCACGCAAAAAUGGAAGGUCCUACAAACGGAGGAGGACCACUCUCUAUUCCCGGGAAGUGGGGUACAAGCGCGUAUGUAUAUAUCACCCAAUGGGGCACCAAUAUGUUGUACUAGCAGGGAACUGAAUGAGGUGAAAUUGGAAAAUCCCUUAAACUUGGUGAUGUGGCGACCUGUGAUUCGGCCUUCACAUUCUGUCAAGAAACAGGCCGGUCACUUUGUUGAUUAAGUCAAGCAGUCAGCCUUAGCCCGACGUGGACAAGUUCUGGAAGUCUUGUUUCGCUCAUUUAUUUAUUUCUUGUCAAUGACGUGUAAUAUUUGAUUUCAUUUGUUUUUUUGGUGGACUAAUAUUAAAUAUACUUUUGUCAAUGAAUUAAUGAUACAAUUUAGAACGGUGAUAUUCACACAUUUUGCACAUAUUCUUCAAUUUGAUAGUUGAAAAUUGAGAAGAAUGUGUGUGAAAUGUAAAAAGAACGUGUAAAUAGCAUAUCCCUACAAUUUAAUAUAAAGGAAUGUAGAUUUCAAACAACGAUUGUUUUUUAAGGUAACGCUUUUGUUCUUGAUUUUUCAUGUUUGAGCUUGAAAUGAACCGCUUUCAUAAUCUAUUGUAUUACUUUGUGUUCAGUUGAAUAAAGUAUCUUUUUCCAACGAAAAAUAAACGGAAUGGCAUUUAAAUAAGGAGUGUAGAGAGUGUAUGCGUAAGGAAAGAGGCAUGCAAAAUUCAUUUCAGCUCAUACAUCUUUGUGUUGCUUAUGUUGGUCUUUCAAUUAAUUAUGUUGAGAGUGAGGAAAUAAAUUGUACUUAGCAGUGUCAAAUUACAACCCUAAUCGAAAAACGUCUUGUUCGCCGGACCUACUCGACUGCUCCGAACAAUGUAAGGCCGAAAGGCGGACGAUACAUAAUCGGGUUUUUUCGAAGUAGGCAUUCAUAAACAUCAAGGAAGCAUACUUGGUAGAAAAUGAAAGAUCCUCAACUUCAUUCCUCAAAUUUUCAAUGCAAUUGAAUUUCCUCAAAUCUAAGGAACUACCAGAUUGUAAUGCUUGCAAUGGAAGGGAACCAUUGUGUACAUGUAGCAUCCACAUGAAUCAGUUGGAGGCUUGUUGGAGUUUUUAACGGAAUGACCAAAAUGAUGGAUGGUAGACAAUCUCAAGGACCACUUUUGAUUAUUUACCCUUCUAUUGAAUUUGCAAAGGGGAAGAAGUUUUAAAUCCAUUACAAAAGAGAUAAUUGCAGCAUGAUUGAUAACAUGCUCAUCACGUGAUUGGGUUCCUAAAAUUCCCAGGUUGUUGCAGGCUUCCUCGUCCUUGUAGAAUAUUUUGUUCAACAAUUCCAGAGAAAAACAAUUAUUCGAUUCGUUUCAGGUAACAGAUGAGUAGCUUAAUUCAAAACUUGUUUUCGUUCUAGAAGUUUAGAUUAUACAAGUGAAUGGUCAAUAUGAUAUACUCGAUAAAAUUACAUGUCUCCUUUUAAAUUUAAAGUUCAUUAUUUUGAAGUGAUUUUUGGAAUUUAAUUUUUCAAUUUAUUUGAUUGAGAGGUGAGGAAUUGGAGAUAAUUAAUUAUGUUUGGGGGUUAACUGGUAUCCUCUAGAAUAUGUUUUUUUUUUUAAUGAGGAAUCCUCUAGAAAAUGUUUAACUUUAUUUUAAAUUUUCAUGUGGUUUUGGCUUCAAUGAGGCAAUGGCAUAUGUGUAAAUAAACAAAAGUUUAAUUCUAACCUAAGGGGGCUGACGGAAGUCAGGGGCAUGGAUGGAAAAGGAGUUUCUUACUUUGCACGUGGGGCUUUAUUGUUUGGGUUAUUCCUCCUAGCUUUUGUCAUUUUCAUUAAAAUUUAAAUCUUUUUAUUAAGUAAAAUUAUUAAAUAGUUUUUUUAUUAAGAAAUUGUUAUUAGGAUUCUAAAAAUCUCAUUUAGCAUUCUAAAUUUUUUAUAAUUAGAAAAAAAAAUACACUUAUAAGAAGUGUAAAUGAGAUUUUUGAAAUGCUAAUAACAAUUCGAUUUUAUUAAUAAAAAGUUUGAAGAAGGCCUUUUCAUUAAAAUUCCCCCAAAAAAAAAGGAGUAUGCUUCUUCCUAAAACGCUUCUUUAGGCCAUAUAAACAAACAGUGAGACGUAAAAACAUGCCCCAACCUCAAAUAUUUCUCUCACAAACAAGGAGAGAAUUUUCAGUGUGACCGGUACACAAGGUGGUACACCACGUAUCACUAAACAAAUAAUAGGAUAUGUGUGCUAAAAAGUUAAUAACUUAAAAAAUAAAAUUUCCCACUAUUCUUAUUAAAACACGUGAUGUAUCACUUAUAUUCCCGUCACAACUAAAAAUUUCCCUACAAACAGAGAGACGUAAAAACAUGCUGCCAUGGGCUUCAGAGAGGAAAAAAGAUCAGGAAAAAAAAUGACCUGAUUGGGUAAGACUUGUACACAAGUUUGUAGUAAAUGUCUACGUACCUUCCUUACAAGUCUGUCUCUUUACUGUGCUUUCCUUCAAUUCACUGUUGUUUCUUCAUCGUCAAAGCUUUCAAUAUUAAGAUCAAACCUUAAUGUUUUGCAGACCUCAUCAGAUGAGUGAUCUCUUAACUCUGUACCAUUGUGGGUGUCGUCAUCAAACUCAUAUGGUAUAGUCUAAUAGUCUGCCUCAUCAGUAUCAUCAUCUCACUCUAAUGGUACACGCUCAUAGUUCACAUUUUUUAUUUCUGAAGGUAAACAAUGUUCCCAUCCUACAAAAUUCACUCCUGUUUUCUUCACCUUACGAACCUUGUCCCCCCUUUUCAGAUUGAGCUUCCUGUUUGAAAGACUUCCCAGCCAAAGAUAAUCUUCAUGGGAAUCAGUUAUGGUGGCAUCCAUUCACCAGAUGGAAAAAUAAGUUCUCUGGGUAACCACAUCGAGGCAUAGAGACCCACUACACUGGGAUGGUCCGAAGAAUAAACGAUGCACACAGCCAACCCUCCUAUAUAAUCAAAACUUGGCGGCACUUCAAAUUUGACAUUUUCUUCCUCUCUCACGACAUAGGUUAACGAUUAAGGAAUAACAUUUCAAGAGCGACAAAUUUCACCAAAUACAUCCCCCACCUUCCAUUUCUACAACACGGCGUGCAAAGUUUGUAUAAGCAAACAAUACGAGAAGGGCAGAGCGAGAGAGAGAGAGAGAGAGAGAGAGAGAGAGAGAGAGAGAGAGAGAGAGAGUAUCAUGCAACAAAACAUAAAAACUCAUCUGGGAGAAUUAUGACUCUUGUGAAUUGGUAGUAUUAUCGAUGCAUAUGUUAUAUGAUCUUCAAACUCGCUAUAGCGUGACUUUUUUUUUUUGUAUCUUUUUCAUCAACUUCAUUUGUUUUUUUUUUUUUUCAAGUAGAGCUGAUAAACUUAAAAUUUAUCCACAACCUAAAAAAUGGAAGAAAAAAAAAGAGGUGGAUGUACAAAAUCCUUGCUAUGCCCUCUAUAUUCAACAGAACAAUAAAUUGAGUUAACGGAUAUAAUUGAAGUACCAUAUUUGAUUGUGUUUGAGAACCAUAAUAAGGAAAAAAAAAAACUACUCUAGAAUGAAGGUAAAACUCGUGACAACAAUGGUGUACAUCUAAAAAAUAGUUCAAGCAGAUUAAGAUGUUAGCGCAUAGACAAAUAUCUCGUUUAUUGAACAAACGAUGAGGAUAACAAUGCCGUUUUCUCUCUUUCGAAAUUCAUAAACAACAAAAUUGAGAUUUGUUACACAAAAAUUACCAUAAAUUUUGACAGAAUUGGCGGUUGAAAUAUAAGUCCAGCAUCCAAAUCGAAAACAAUCAUAGGAGCUUAGAAAAUACCACAUCAACCUUUAGCAAGUAGUCUCAUAAGAAAUCCCAAUCAAGAUAAAACCAUUCAACAGUUUAUUAGACUUCUCCUUUCAUAUAAGAGCAUGGUUCGGAGGAUAAUUUAAUUGACCUCAUAACAUCUUUCUACAAAGAAAAAAUGAAAAAGAAAAUAGGGCCUCGACACCUGUGGCAAAACCCGACAUGGAUUAGAGUACUUUUCUGCCUAACCUUCUAUAAAAGCAAUAGGCCACAACUACUAUUGCCACUGCUCCAAUCAAGCUUGACAGCUUCCGUAAGGCAUCCUUCCUGGCACACGACUCCCUGGUUUCUUUCGGCUUUUUUUCCUCACUUCCACCGUUCUCCUCCAAACUUACUUCUUCGCAACAUGUAAAUCCAUCACUAUUAGCACCCUGGCAACAACCUGAAAAGUUCUCAUUAUUCUCAAUUUGAUUGCCCUUUUCUUGGUGAAUCUGAUUGCCAUUUUCUUGUGGCUUCUCCUCAAUUUUCUUAUUUUCUUCUCCAUUUGGAAGCUCCCGGUCAUUGAUUUCUUCAGCUUCAUCAGAAGAUGCUCCCAUUUGGCCCCUGUAACAAAUGAAAUUGAAUUUCGUGUUCAACUAUUUAAAGAUUCAACUCUAAGUUUCGUCAAUAUCAAUUGAGUAAGAACAUGUAUGAUCAAGCUUAAUAAACAAAUCACAACCACAUUACAAAUAAAAACAUAUACAGGGUAAUGCAGUUAUAUCCAAUUCUUUUGUGCUUUCUCCACAAAAGUUCCUCCAUGUUAAUGUAACUCUAUAUCAAUUAAUCUAUCAUACAAGACUAGACAUAAUCAGCAAUUGAAAACUACGACAACACAAGCUUCCGUCCAGUGAAAAUUUCAUCCAAAGAUAGGCAAAACCAAAAACGUACAAACCUCCACAGUCGUUUUAUAAUCUUUCCCUUCCCAAUAUGCUCAUCAAGCAAUUCCGGCACAUCAUCAGGAGUGACGUCGCCAUACCUGCAAUUAAUAAUACAUUUUAUUCAAAUUCCAUUGAUCCCAAUACAACAAAAUUUUAAAUUGUUAUGAUCCGAAUAUUACCAAUGGCCUGUUAUGCUUCCAUCUGAACCUGAGCUAUAGAUAAUCAUGUUUCCAUUGUGGCCUCCAGUGUGAAAGCAAGCAGCAACAAAUACCUGAUUCGUCAAUCCUCGCAGCUCAACCUCCUCUUUGAACUUAUAAAUGAGAACACGUGCACUAUCAUGAUUCCAUUCCUCUCGACUACCUUGUGCACAUACAAAUACAUGGGAGCCAGUCAACGGCUCUUGCACUCUGGAAGCCCAUGGCUUGUCAUUCACAAGGACAUCAUCAACAAAGUUGUCCACAUCCGACUCUUUCAAACCCCUUUGAUCAAGAAACAAAAACAAUCCCAAAAUCACAAAAAGGAAUUUACAGGAAACAAUAACCUAACACUCUUUAAUUCCUUAUAAGGCAAGGAAUUAGUCUUAAAUUGAGUCAUUAAAUUAAAUUUCUAGUACUAAUUUCAGAAGAUAACACAUAUCUAAUUAUCUACUUAGUUCAUGACAUUUAGCACAAUUUCGUAAUCAAAAGAGAAGUCGAAACAGAAAUUACUUCAGUCAAAACUAGGAAAAUAAAUUGCACUGCUCAUCUUGGUUAUGGAAUGGGCCCUUGAUUAUGAAUUAAUUACGGUUUGCCAUUGUGUGCGCUAGUGUGGGCCGUGCUUAACAACUGGGUUGGGCUGCUGCAUUUGGGCACAGGGUGCAGCUCUCAAGCGUUUUGGGCUGGGUUUCACCGAAAGAUCCAAUAACUAUUUUGCCCCCUUCAGUCCUAAUCCAACGGCCACCAUUUUGGGCGUUUGUGUUCUGCAAUUCAGUGGUUGGGGGUUGGGGGUUGUGGUGGGGGGGGGGCGUCAGGAUCUCUUCAAGGAGAUCGUGCAGAGAGGCAGCGAGAUGUUUCGGUUCUGUCUUCUUCGACUCUUAUAUCGUCCCUUUUUUCUGAAUUUUCUUUAUUUCUUAUCCUUUAAACUUUGUAUUUUUUUUUUUGGUGAUGCAGAUAGAUGAACAUGUUCAAAGGGAAAUCAUGAACCACAGAUCACUGCAUCCGAAUGGACCGAAUAUCGUUUGAUUCGAAGAGGUCAGUGAUCAUAAACUAUUUUAUAAACUAUUUUCAUUUUGUUUUUUAAGAAUGAAUUCGGCAAGUUCUGUUUGAAUUUUGUAUAAGUAUCUGCUGAUGGUGGGUGGAUGAAGACAGAACAUGCUAAAUUUGGCCUUUGGUGUGCUCAAACUGGUACGGGGGAUGGUUAAAACUUUGAGCCUGGGAUGCAGUAGGACUAACAGAAAUCCACCACUUGCAGAAUUGUUGUCAAAAUAACUCUGCUAAAAAUAUGAGCUAUACUUCUUGCACUUUGUUUUUACUGUGAAGUGGAAAUAGUCUUUAGAGUGGCUUAUUUGUGAUAAUUGAUAAAGAGGUUUGUGUUUAAGACUUGAGAGUAGUGCGGUGUCUUUCUCGCUGGUUCUGCUCACACCACCUCAUCUAGCCAUUGUGAUGGAGUACACGGCUGGGUGAGAACUCUUCGAGAGAGUAUGCAGUGCUGGCAGAUUUAGUGAGGAUGAGAUAAAGUAGUUUCAAAUGCACAGAAAAUUUCAUUGGAAUUGAUUUUAGUGUAGAGUCUCAAAUAUGGGAUCUCUAAAUGUCCCCUGAAAUGGAAUCCAUCUCGAUUUUUGCUUAGUUUCAGAUAGGGAAGGUUAUGUCUGAAGCAUUUUUACAUAAACAAUCAGUCAUAAUAUAACAAAAACGAACUUACUUUUUCGAUAUAAUUGUUGUUUUGCAUCAGGCAAGGUUUUUUCCUCCAGCAAUUGAUAUCAGGAAUUAGUUGCUGGCUUUUGAUGGUAUGUAAUGUGGCACUUUUCUGCUAAUCGUAUACUGUUAUUUCUCUUUUGAUAUUGGAAGUGUUGGUUGUAGUAAGGAAAUAAUUCGUUUCAAUAGUUUACGACUUAGUUUUAAUAGUAUAUGACUCAGUUUUUGAAUAGCACUCGGGUGGUUUUUGAAUAACAGUAUUACGACUUAGUUUUCUAAAUGCCAAUAACAGCUCUAGAUUUUGUCUCAAGUGGAGUAUUCUUACUAAUGUAGCAUUUUGUUGGCGCAUCAGUAUGUUUUGAUUGUUUCUCUGCUUGAACAGAGAAUUGUUAACGUCCAGGUGGGAACGUGGGUUGGCUCAUGUUUUAAUCUCUCCGUUGUAAGCAAUUUUACAUGGUAUUCUUCAAUGUAGCUAUAGGUAAGACAACAGUCUCAGUAUUCCAUAAUCUAACCACCAUUUGAACUUUUUUCAUCCACCAAGCUAAGCUUUUAUGUGCCAUCUUGAAUGGUUAUUAUAAGUUAUUGCUUCAGAUUACUCCAGUGCGACAUUAUUGUUCUCUUCCUUACCUCUCAAGCUUGCUUAAUGUCCUUAUUCUUAUUACUGUUGUAUUGUUAAGAAAUACUCAAAUGCGGUUUCAGUUCAUCAUUAUGAAUCAGAUUAAAAUUAACCACUCACUGGUUAAUUAUCUAAAUCCUAUAAAUUCAGAUUAAAAUUAAAGCAACUACAGAACAAAAACCUCAAGAAAUCAACACGAAUUUACCUGUAUUUGAUCAUUUGUGGGAAAAUCAACACAUCGCCAUUGGAAAACUCAGUUCCUUCGCGUCCUUCAAUUACUGUCAGCAACGUCUAUCAAAAACCAAGAAAAAAGUGAGUAACGGAGUCAAUUCAGCUCAACACCAUAACUUAGUAGCUCCAGGAACUAAGACACGGUAAGAAAAAAUAAUCGGAAAUGCUGACGAAUUGAGCUGGAAAAGGGACCUUAACGGUGAUGUCGUUCUUGCGAGCUUUGAGAGCGGAUGCAAAGAACUUAGGGAGUGGAUCGGACUCAGAGCCUUUGAUGCGCCAUGGCCAAGCCUCGGGGGUCUUGUAGCAGAGGAAAACUUGGCGAUUGCUCAACUGCGUAUCGUCCUUAGUGUCUUCAUCAGACUCAUAUGACAUAGUCUCAUAGUCGUACCAAUUAGUACGACCAUCAGACAAAUCCCAUUUUACAAUAUCCACUCCUGUUUUGUUCACCUUAAUAAUUGUAUUAUCUAGUCCAGAAAAUUCUGCUUUUACAAGAACCAUGUCACCGCUUUUCAGAUUGAGCUUCUUGUUUGAAAGAUUUCCCAACCAAAGAUAAUAUUCAUGGGAAGCAGUUACGGUGGCCUUCAUUGCCCAGACGCGAAAGUUAGUUCGCUGGGUACGAUUAACAACACCAAUGGUUAGAAUCCCAGUACAGUCAGAGUUGUCCGAAGAAUAAACGAUGCCCAAAGCCAACCCUCCUAUAUAAUCAAUACUUGGCGGCACUUCGAAUUUGACAGUUUCAUCCUCUCUUGCGACAUAGGCUAACCAGUUAGGAAUAUCAUUUCCAAAGAGAAAAAUUCCACCAAAUGCAUUUUUCUACACCAUGGGGUGCAAAGUUAGUAUAAGCAACAAUACGAGAGAGAGAGAGAGAGAGAGAGAGAGAAAGAGAGAGAGAGUACCGUUUUGGAGGUUCUCCUUAAAAGUAUCAGUGAGACUGGUACACCCUUCCAUGUGAAUUGAUUCCAUGUAGUCCAAUGAGUUCUCCAAGUUUGGAAUAUCUUUGAGUUUGCGGCAGUCUUUCAGUUCCAAUUUCCUCAUUUUCGACAUCUCUGAAAAGUCGGACGUUAUUUCCAGUGCAGUGCAGUAAUUCGCUUCCAGUAGAAGCAAACUGUUCGGCAAAUCUGGGAUUGCCUCAAGGUUUGUGCAAUGAUUUAGAUGUAAUUCCUGAAGCUGAGAAAGGCCAUUGAGAUUGGGCAGCCUAUUAAAACCAUUCCCAUAUAGAACUAAAUAUUUUAAAGAAGAUAGACUCCCAAUUAUUUCGAGAAGGGCACCAUCUGUUAUAUUGCAGUCGCUGAGACCUAAUGCCUCAAUCAUCUUCAGUUGUAGUAAAAAAUGGUAACCCCUACACAAACCCUUACAGCCACUGAGGUUCAAUUCCUCGAGAUGUGGGAGUUUUGAAAAGUCUAGUAAUUCAGUCAGGUUAUGGCAGUCUUUAAGAAUGAGACACUUCAACAUCUUAGGCAACUUCUUAGGCAACUGUUACUCAAAAAGUGAAAACAAUAAUAAAAAUAUAAAUAAAUAAAAGAGAGAAUGCAUGCCGAUGACCGAUGUUGAUAUUUACAAGGACAUUGAUAAUUAUAUCGUACCAGGUCUGAAUCAUCCCAAACUCGUACAAGCUUGCUAUUUCUCAGGUCAAUAAAAACUAGGUUUCGUUGAUCAAAAUCUGCUGGUAUGGCUUCAAGGGGAAAUCCAUCCCAAACCAACAAUCUUAACUCCUUGGAAAGAUGUUUGUAGCUUCCAGUCAGCUUUACAAUUUCCAGCCGGAUAAAUUUCAGACGCCGCAUCUUCUUAAACGCUUCUGUACUGAAGCUUUCCUCGUCAUCAGAAUCUUCUGGCAACCUUAAGUUUAGUCCUUCAACUGCUUCUGUUCCCUGUUAGAGAU